RNAcentral lists this ribosomal RNA (419 nucleotides) under uncultured eukaryote. RNAcentral's name for it is "bacterial SSU rRNA". It matches the Rfam family "Eukaryotic small subunit ribosomal RNA", at positions 592 to 1011 of the family's 1831-position model. The record is from RNAcentral.
CAAUAGCGUAUAUUAAAGUUGUUGCAGUUAAAAGCUCGUAGUUGGAUGUCUGGCUCUGUGUUGCGGUCCACCGCAAGGUGAGCACUGCGAUGUGGGGUCUUCCUCUUGAAUGCUGCGUGUGCUCUUAGUUGAGUGUGCGUGGGGUUUGGGAUCUUUACUUUGAAAAAUUAGAGUGUUCAAAGCAGGCGAUUGCUUGAAUAUAUUAGCAUGGAAUAAUGGAAUAGGACUUGGGUUCUAUUUUGUUGGUUUCUAGGACCGAGGUAAUGAUUAAUAGGGGUAGUUGGGGGCGAUUCGUAUUUAAUUGUCAGAGGUGAAAUUACUUGGAUUUAUUGAAAGACGAACUUCUGCGAAAGCAUUUGUCCAAGGAUGUUUUCUAUUAAAUUCAAGAACGAAAGUUAAGGGGAGUCGAAGACGAUUAG